AUUGAACGCUGGCGGCAGGCCUAACACAUGCAAGUCGAGCGGAUGAAGGGAGCUUGCUCCUGGAUUCAGCGGCGGACGGGUGAGUAAUGCCUAGGAAUCUGCCUGGUAGUGGGGGAUAACGUCCGGAAACGGGCGCUAAUACCGCAUACGUCCUGAGGGAGAAAGUGGGGGAUCUUCGGACCUCACGCUAUCAGAUGAGCCUAGGUCGGAUUAGCUAGUUGGUGGGGUAAAGGCCUACCAAGGCGACGAUCCGUAACUGGUCUGAGAGGAUGAUCAGUCACCCUGGAACUGAGACACGGUCCAGACUCCUACGGGAGGCAGCAGUGGGGAAUAUUGGACACUGGGCGAAAGCCUGGUCCAGCCAUGCCGCGUGUGUGAAGAAGGUCUUCGGAUUGUAAAGCACUUUAAGUUGGGAGGAAGGGCAGUAAGUUAAUACCUUGCUGUUUUGACGUUACCAACGGAAUAAGCACCGGCUAACUUCGUG
Molecule: ribosomal RNA, 484 nt
Filed under: uncultured bacterium
Lineage: Bacteria
Description: partial 16S ribosomal RNA
Rfam family: Bacterial small subunit ribosomal RNA
Source: RNAcentral